UUGCACCAAAAGCACACGCGUUUGUGAAGAAAAGUUUAAGUGACCAAUUAAAUUAAAUAACAACUAAAAACUAAUUCUGGAAAUGAUCGUGCAAUAUAACAUCGACGGAGUUAGUGGGAAGAAGAGAUUGAAGGCGUUUCCAAAUUUUUAUGGAGUUUUGAUCGAUAGUAUAUCCAAAGUGGUUCCGGGGACCUCGGCUGAGAAAG
This is a long non-coding RNA of Drosophila bipectinata, 206 nucleotides long. RefSeq lists it as uncharacterized. Lineage: Eukaryota; Metazoa; Arthropoda; Insecta; Diptera; Drosophilidae. The record is from RefSeq and is a predicted model, not a curated record.